GUUCGUCUGCAGUCUGCAAAAAUUUAUAGGAACUUGCGAAGCGUUUGUAGGCUUUUUCUAACUCAGCGUUAAACGGUUAUACUUUAACUGCCAUACCUGUGUUUUUCAUGGAUGUCCCGCCCCCUUAACACGUGAUUAAAACGAAGAAGUCAAGUGAAAUCAAGUCAUGGAAAUGUUUGAAAAAUCCCAGGAUUCCAAGGACACAUCGGAACAAAAAGUGAAACGUGGGUUGUUUCCUCGGUGAAAGUUGCCUGUCACUUGGGUUACCAAAAUUGUCUCUGCCUUUUUAAGUUCAGUGUUGCUGUUCAGUUUGUGUAGAAAUGAACAGUGAAGACAAAUACCUGAUGAAGUGAAACCGAGCAUUCACUGUCAAAAAAACCUUAAUUGAAUUGGUUCAUUUUGGUGAGCAACAACUAAUGUAAACAGCAUUGCAAUUCGUCCAACAAAAAUGCAUCAACAGCCAGCAUCAACAGAAGGAUGAUUUCUCAAAGAAAUUAUCCAUACACCGAACAGAUACAUAAAUUCAGACGUAGGCAUGGGCGGCUUUGCAGUGUCAUGACUCUAGUCCUUUCAUUGAGGUGCAUUCACGUAGGAACUUGGAAGUCGUCCAGUGUAGCUCCGGAAAAGAAUACUUAUUCGCUCUUAUAAAUCUUACAGCGAAAAAUGUCAACGAAAUUUCGCCCUUAAAUGCAGUUCUAAUCCUCAAGUCGACCAUCAGUUACACUGGCGAUGACAUCACUAACAAGUAACAACAUGAUUUCUGCCACCCACCAUGCCAGCCAGUUCUCCCAAUCAUUAGUGUAUCUGAAGCAAUAAUAAAAUUAUUGAAAUUCUAUGGGUGCCAAUCCCUGCAGUUCCCGCUUCUCAAUAGGAAGCACACAACAAACUUCCAAUGACAGUUAAUUUCAGCAAGGACAUCAAUAACAAAGAAGAAGUUGUUUAAUAUUUAUCAUGCUAUUAUAAAAAUGUGCCUAUAAGAGACCCAGAACAAAUGUGAAGUAUUUGGUGCACCAAAGAAAGAAGAAAAGACACUAAUGCCCUUACGUUAAACGCGGAUCAAGCAAUCGCGCAUAAAUGAAAGUUUAUGUUCCCGAAGAUACUAUCCGAUGUGGCAUGUUGUUGCAGCCUAUGUUGGCGAAACAUUUUUUUGCAUCGAAGUUAGCCUGUGGCUGUUCCCUGGUGCUGGUGUUGAGUUAGUUACGGAAGUUGCAACCAGUAUUUUGUCAAUUGUCAUUGUGUCUGGAGUUAUUACCGUUUAUGUGAUAAGAAGAAACAGAAAUAUGGGGAGUUUAUAUGUCAAACAAAUAAUGAAUAAACCGUCGCGAUUGGGAAAGCAACGAG
Molecule: long non-coding RNA, 1341 nt
Filed under: Daphnia pulex (common water flea)
Lineage: Eukaryota; Metazoa; Arthropoda; Branchiopoda; Diplostraca; Daphniidae
Description: uncharacterized LOC124207381, transcript variant X2
Source: RNAcentral